Molecule: non-coding RNA, 759 nt
Organism: Myodes glareolus (Bank vole)
Lineage: Eukaryota; Metazoa; Chordata; Mammalia; Rodentia; Cricetidae
Source: RefSeq, a predicted model, not a curated record
AUGGAGGCAUCAGCAGAGCAGCCAAGCCCGCAUCACCUGCAGCCCGGGGAGCACUGUAUCCGUGAUGAUGACUUCGUGAUGCUGAAGCGGUAAGAUGUGUUCAAAGCAGUGCAAGUCCAACGGAGAAAGAAAGUAACUUUCGAUAAACAGUGGUUCUACCUGGAUAAUGCCAUUGGUCAUAGUUAUGGGUCAACAUUUGAAGUGUGUAAUGGAGGAUGCCUUCAGCUCAAGAAGAAGAAGGAAGAGCCUACUUCAGAGACUAAAGAAGCGGGCAUUGAUAAUCGAAAUAUAGUUGAUGAUGGAAAGUCCCAGAAACAUACACAAGAUGAUAUAAAGGCUCUGAAAGACAAGGGCAUUAAAGGAGAGGAAAUAGUUCAGCAGCUAAUUGAAAAUAGCACAACAUUCAGCAACAAGACAGAAUUUGCCCAAGAUAAAUAUAUUAAAAAGAAGAAGAAAAAAUAUGAAGCCAUCGUUACUAUUUUGAAGACAUCUACCUGUAUUUUUUCAAUUAUGUAUUAUUCAAGAGAACCUGGAAAAAUUAACCACAAGAGAUAUGAUACACUAGCCCAGAUGCUGAAAUUGGGAAAUAUCCGUGCUGGCAAUAAAAUGAUUGUCAUGGAAACGUGUUCGGGCAUGGUUCUGGGUGUCAUGAUGGAGCAAAUGGGAGGUUUUGGCUCCAUGUUUUGGCUGUAUCCUGGAGAUGGACCUGUUUGUGCAGAAACAGCUUGUUUUGAGUUUCCCAAAACUUCCUACUUUUAA